UUUACUGCUUAUUUCUCGAGAAAAAUUAAAUACAGAUCUUUUUGUGAGGAGAACGAACGCAUCUUAAAAUCGAUGGCACCCGCAGCAGAUAUCGAGGAUGAGAUCAAGGACGAGAAGAACCCUCCCCCACUUGAUGAAGAUGAUUCAAGUAAUUCGUCAAACAAUCUGAAAAUCGAUGGCACCCGCAGCAGAUAUCGAGGAUGAGAUCAAGGACGAGAAGAACCCUCCCCCACUUGAUGAAGAUGAUAUUGCUCUUCUCAAGACUUAUGUACUCAUUUAUAACCCUAACUUCUUGCAUUCCUGAUUUUUUUCCUGUUUUCUUUGAGUUAUUAAUUCUUCAUUACUGACUAUUGAGAUAAUAUCGCGAAUUUUGCAGAAUUAUAUUAUUGUUACUGCUGUUGUUUUGUUCAGCUGGUAUAGAAUCUGAUGAACAGUAAUGAGUUAGGAGUUUUUUGAAGAAUUUGAUGAACACUAUACUUGGACUUGUUAGAAGAGUUUGGAGAUUUGUAGUUUCUAUCUUAGUGGCAGGUGUUGGACUGUUGUAACUCAGUACCAUUUUGAUACCUUUCGAAUAAAAGUAUCUGACUUAACAAAAAAACGAAUUUGAUGAACACUAAAGCUAGUAACAACCUCUAAAGUUAUGUUUGGUGUAUUACCAGGGGUUUGGGGGUUGGGAACCAGAAAAUUUCAAUCAUUGGGCUGCCUUUGUCGCCUCGUUAACAAGCCCUUGAGCAGUUGUGUGUGCUUGAAUGAGUAUGCAGCCAUGUAACUGUUAAAUCCCUUGUGACUCUCAACCUGAUUGUUCAUGGUAUAAACUAAUUUUUUAUGGUCGAGAGGUCCAUAAUUUUACUUUUAUUGUUUAUAUUUACUCUUUCUUCUUUUUCUUUUUGGGAUGCUUCACUUUUGUAUUUUGCAGCUUAGAAUUGAUUUAAACUCAAAUUCAAGUCCUUUCCAAUCACUUGUAGCUAUGAAAAAACCAGACAUGCUAAGUCCAUCUAACCAUGUGCCUAGUUUGAAUCCAUUGAAGGUGGAAACAUACCAGUACAAUUGUAUCUGUGAUUAUGAGUUAUGUCUGUAUCUGGUCCGGUCUUCUGCGAAGUUGGGUAAUUGCAGCGGUAUAUCGUUGGCCGAUGCGACUUCUGUGUUCCAUAUUUGUUGCUAUCUGCUUUUGUACUUCUAGUUGGAGAUCUUCGACGCCUCUGUAAGGUCCAUCCAUCUUAAUAGCUAUGCCCUUGUUGAGCUAUUUUCUGGGAACUUGGUCGCUUUAUGUUACUCUAGGAUAUUGAGGGUCUUCUGUUAAGCAUGGAUAAGUUGCCUCGGGGAAUUGUGCCACUCUUUGAAAAUAGAAUUAAUUUUCU
Molecule: long non-coding RNA, 1358 nt
Filed under: Nicotiana benthamiana
Lineage: Eukaryota; Viridiplantae; Streptophyta; Magnoliopsida; Solanales; Solanaceae
Description: long non-coding RNA (NBEN_LNC017465)
Source: RNAcentral